AAAAAAAAAAAAUUACACACACCACACACACACAAAAACAAAAUUCAGGACACUACCACCAAUGCCUAACAAUCACCAAGAACAUUACGGCCAAGAUAAAGAAAUAUGGCUUUUACUAGGCUUAAUUGGUCCCUUAAGAGAAAGCAUGACCAUUCUCUCAUUUCUGUGUGGUUAAUUAUGGUACUUGUUUUAUAUAAUGGAAGUUUAAUUAAUCUUAUGGUAUCUCCUUUUUUCUUUUUUUUCUUUUUUUUUUUUCACUCCAAAAUAUUAAUAAGAAAACUCAGCAUUGCACUUAAACGAACGAUCAUCCCUCGACAAACUAUCUACUAUUACUAUUAUCUAUUAUUAUUCUAUUGUUUUCACUCUCUUAUCUAAGGCAGUUCAUCCCCCAAACUAUUCACUAUUACUUUAUAUAACUAUCAUCUCCAUUUACUAUCAGUCACUCCAUCAACCCAAGUGUAUUUACCAUCACUACUGUUAUUUGUUAUUACUUGCUAUCAAUUAAAGGCACUCAAUUAACCAAAAAAUAUAUCAAUACUUUUAUCAUUUAUCGCCAUUCAUUAACUAUCUAUGGCAAGCCAAUGACUAAAACUAUCUAUCAUCACUCCUAUUAUUUGACUAAUCUAACAUACUCUUUUACUAUCAAAGGUACUCAGUAAACAAAAGCUGUAUCAUUAGUUUUAUCAUUUAUCAACACUAUCAUCUCUAUUCAUUAACUAUCUAUGGCAACCCACUGACUAAAACUAUUUAUCAUCACUCCUAUUAUUUGACUAAUCUAACAUCCUCUUUUACUAUCAAAGGCACUCAGUAAACAAAAGCUGUAUCAUUAGUUUUAUCAUUUAUCAACACUAUCAUCUCCAUUCAUUAACUAUCUAUGGUAUUCCACUGACAAACUAUUUAUUAUCACUCCUAUAUUAUUUGACUAAUCUAACAUCCUCUUUUACUAUCAAAGGCACUCAGUAAACAAAAGCUGUAUCAUUAGUUUUAUCAUUUAUCAACACUAUCAUCUCCAUUCAUUAACUAUCUAUGGCAACCCACUGACCAAAACUAUUUAUUAUCACUCCUAUUAUUUGACUAAUCUAACAUCCUCUUUUACUAUCAAAGGCACUCAGUAAACAAAAGCUAUAUCAUUAGUUUUAUCAUUUAUCCACACUAUCAUCUCUAUUCAUUAACUAUCUAUGGUAUUCCACUGACAAACUAUUUAUCAUCACUCCUAUUAUUUGUCUAAUCUAACAUCCUCUUUUACUAUCAAAGGUACUCAGUAAACAAAAGCUAUAUCAUUAGUUUUAUCAUUUAUCAACACUAUAAUCUAUAUUCAUUAACUAUCUAUGGUAUUCCACUGACAAACUAUUUAUUAUCACUCCUAUAUUAUCUGACUAAUCUAACAUCCUCUUUUACUAUCAAAGGCACUCAGUAAACAAAAGCUAUAUCAUUAGUUUUAUCAUUUAUCAACACUAUCAUCUCUAUUCAUUAACUAUCUAAUCUAAGGCAACCCAUUGAGGAAAAUCAUCUGCAAUUACUACUGGCAUUUCUUACUAUUCUUUUGUCUUCAUUCUGUAUUACCUAAGGCACCAUUAACGCAACCCAUCUGUCAUUACGUACGGAUUAACAGGUUUAGAAAAGGAUUAAGAGCCUUAGAAGAGGUUUAGGAGGAGGACAAAGAGGAUUAAGAGCUUUAGAAGAGGUUUAGGAGGAGGACAAAGAGGAUUAAGAGCUUUAGAAGAGGUUUAGGAGGAGGACAAAGAGGAUUAAGAGCUUUAGAAGAGGUUUAGGAGGAGGACAAAGAGGAUUAAGAGCUUUAGAAGAGGUUUAGGAGGAGGACAAAGAGGAUUAAGAGCUUUAGAAGAGGUUUAGGAGGAGGACAAAGAGGAUUAAGAGCUUUAGAAGAGGUUUAGGAGGAGGACAAAGAGGAUUAAGAGCUUUAGAAGAGGCUUAGGAGGAGGACAAAGAGGAUUAAGAGCUUUAGAAGAGGCUUAGGAGGAGGACAAAGAGGAUUAAGAGCUUUAGAAGAGGUUUAGGAGGAGGACAAAGAGGAUUAAGAGCUUUAGAAGAGGUUUAGGAGGAGGACAAAGAGGAUUAAGUCUUGGAACUCCCUAACCUCUCACAAACACUUCAAAUAUUCUAACUACGCAUGUUACUAGUGCUACCAAAAUUUGAACUUUCUUAUCCUCUUGAUCUGAAUGCUGUCAUGGUAAAAGUAUAGCCAGUUCCUCUCUUCCUCCCUCUUUGUUCAACUUUCCCUUCUCUUCUGUGCAAGCUGAUAUCUUCCUCCCUUUUUGUGAGACCCGAUUUCUCUUCCUCCGUUCUCUUCUUCCCUUCUGUCAACGUGAUCUUCUCUUUCUCCCUUCUGUCCUUUCCUUCUGUUAACCUGAU
This is a long non-coding RNA of Eriocheir sinensis (Chinese mitten crab), 2373 nucleotides long. RefSeq lists it as uncharacterized. The transcript has 4 exons. The record is from RefSeq and is a predicted model, not a curated record. NCBI's taxonomy places the organism in Eukaryota, Metazoa, Arthropoda, Malacostraca, Decapoda, Varunidae.